UUUUGAAGGGGUUGUAGCUGGCCUUUUCGUUUGAGAGGCAUUUUGUGCACACCCUGAUCAUUAUCCAUCUCACACCUGUGCACACUCUGUAGGUCGGCUUUCGGGGGCAAGGUCUACACUGACUUUGCUUUUGUGGCCUGGCCUAUGUUUUUACCACAUACACUUUGUCUAAAGAAUGUUCAUUGCGUGUAACGCAUUUUUAUACAACUUUCAGCAACGGAUCUCUUGGCUCUCGCAUCGAUGAAGAACGCAGCGAAAUGCGAUAAGUAAUGUGAAUUGCAGAAUUCAGUGAAUCAUCGAAUCUUUGAACGCACCUUGCGCUCCUUGGUAUUCCGAGGAGCAUGCCUGUUUGAGUGUCAUGGAAUUCUCAACUCUAUUUGUUCUGUACAAAUAGGGCUUGGAUUUGGAGGGAAUUUGCUGGAUACUUUCAGUGUUCGGCUCCUCUUGAAUGCAUUAGCUUGAGCCUAUGGGGAUCAACUUUGGUGGGAUAAGUUUUCCGCCCCAUCCUGGGAAACAUGGUACUUUGGUAACUCUGGCUUCUAAAAUAUAAUCUAAUGGAAACCGCAUAAAAUUGACCUUUGA
RNAcentral lists this ribosomal RNA (582 nucleotides) under Daedalea radiata. RNAcentral describes it as "eukaryotic LSU rRNA". The stretch from base 206 to 359 matches the Rfam family "5.8S ribosomal RNA". The record is from RNAcentral. Lineage: Eukaryota; Fungi; Basidiomycota; Agaricomycetes; Polyporales; Fomitopsidaceae.